Molecule: ribosomal RNA, 421 nt
Filed under: uncultured cyanobacterium
Lineage: Bacteria; Bacillati; Cyanobacteriota
Description: bacterial SSU rRNA
Rfam family: Bacterial small subunit ribosomal RNA
Source: RNAcentral
GAAUUUUCCGCAAUGGGGGCAACCCUGACGGAGCGACGCCGCGUGCAGGAUGAAGGCCUUCGGGUUGUAAACUGCUUUUAUUUGGGACGAACAAAUGACGGUACCAAAUGAAUAAGAGGUUGCUAACUCUGUGCCAGCAGCAGCGGUAAUACAGAGACCUCGAGCGUUAUCCGGAUUCAUUGGGCGUAAAGGGUCCGCAGGCGGCCUGAUAAGUCAUAUGUCAAAUCUUCGGGCUCAACCCGGAGACUGCGUAUGAUACUGUUAGGCUAGAGGCUGGGAGAGGCACACGGAAUUGCCGGUGUAGCGGUAAAAUGCGUUAAUAUCGGCAAGAACACCAAAGGCGAAGGCAGUGUGCUGGAACAGUUCUGACGCUCAGGGACGAAAGCGUGGGUAGCGAAUGGGAUUAGAUACCCCAGUAGUC